CUGCGGUUGGAUCACCUCCUUA
Molecule: ribosomal RNA, 22 nt
Filed under: bacterium endosymbiont of Nycterophylia cf. coxata
Lineage: Bacteria
Description: partial 16S ribosomal RNA
Source: RNAcentral